This 86-nucleotide transfer RNA is filed under the name Lentinula lateritia. Its description in RNAcentral is "tRNA-Phe". It matches the Rfam family "tRNA". From Rfam's summary of the family: Transfer RNA (tRNA) molecules are approximately 80 nucleotides in length. Their secondary structure includes four short double-helical elements and three loops (D, anti-codon, and T loops). The record is from RNAcentral. Lineage: Eukaryota; Fungi; Basidiomycota; Agaricomycetes; Agaricales; Omphalotaceae.
GGGGGUAUAGCUCAGCUGGGAGAGCAGCAGACUGAAGCUGUGUGCAGUUCUUCUGAAGGUCCCGCGUUCGAUCCGCGGUACCCCCC